UAAAGGAUCGUUACAAUCUAAUUAUGGGUGAAAACUUUCACUACGGAACAAAAUUAUCCGUUGAAUUUGAUGUCAUGAAUUCAAUUACCUUAGUUGUCGAGCGCAAUGUCUAAAUAAAGUCCCUUACGAGCCAUUGGUAAUAUUAUUGGGCAAGUGAUGAAGAUUGACUACAACACCAACAAUGGGGCUCAGGGUCGCUUUGCAAGGAUGGCCAUGACCAGUGAUUUGUCAAAGUCUUUAGUGUCGAAGGUCCUAACUGAUGGGAAAUUGCAAUGAGUGGAAUAUGAGUCCUUG
RNAcentral lists this long non-coding RNA (294 nucleotides) under Gossypium barbadense (sea-island cotton). RNAcentral's name for it is "long non-coding RNA (GBAR_LNC003919)". The record is from RNAcentral. Lineage: Eukaryota; Viridiplantae; Streptophyta; Magnoliopsida; Malvales; Malvaceae.